GAGUUUGAUCCUGGCUCAGGACUAACGCUGGCGGCAUGCAUCAUACAUGCAAGUCGAACGAUCGGCUUCCGGUGCUUGCAUCGGGAGUACGGAGUGGCGCACGGGUGAGUAACGCGUAGGUAACCUGCCUCACGGCCUGGGAUAGCCGGUCGAAAGAUCGAUUAAUACCGGAUACGACGGAGAGCUCUGCGGGGUUCUCCGGGAAAGGUGCUUCGGCAUCACCGCGAGAUGGGCUUGCGUACUAUUAGCUUGUUGGUGGGGUAAAGGCCUACCAAGGCAGUGAUGGGUAGCCGGCUUGAGAGAGUGAACGGCCACACUGGAACUGAGACACGGUCCAGACUCCUACGGGAGGCAGCAGUAGGGAAUUUUCGGCAAUGGGCGAAAGCCUGACCGAGCAAUGCCGCGUGAGGGAUGAAGGUCCUAGGAUCGUAAACCUCUGUCAUUGGGGAAGAAGGCCACCAGGAGGUAAUGCCUGGUGGAUUGACGGUACCCAAGGAGGAAGUCACGGCUAAUUACGUGCCAGCAGCCGCGGUAAUACGUAAGUGGCAAGCGUUGUCCGGAAUCACUGGGCGUAAAGAGCACGUAGGCGGCUCUGUAAGUCCGAGGUGAAAUCCAGAGGCUCAACCUCUGAACUGCCUUGGAAACUGCAGAGCUCGAGGGUCUGAGGGGAAAGUGGAAUUCAGGGUGUAGCGGUGAAAUGCGUAGAUAUCCUGGAGAACACCGGUGGCGAAGGCGGCUUUCUGGCAGACUCCUGACGCUGAGGUGCGAAAGCUAGGGUAGCGAACGGGAUUAGAUACCCCGGUAGUCCUAGCCCUAAACGAUGAGUACUAGGUAUCGGCCCUCAGGGUCAGUGCCGACGCUAACGCAUUAAGUACUCCGCCUGGGGACUACGAUCGCAAGGUUGAAACUCAAAGGAAUUGACGGGGGCCCGCACAAGCGGUGGAGCAUGUGGUUUAAUUCGAUGCAACGCGAAGAACCUUACCUGGGCUUGACAUCCCCGGACAGCCCUGGAAACAGGGUCUUCCAAGCAAUUGGACCGGGUGACAGGUGGUGCAUGGCUGUCGUCAGCUCGUGUCGUGAGAUGUUGGGUUAAGUCCCGCAACGAGCGCAACCCCCGUGUUUAGUUGCUAACGGUUCGGCCGAGGACUCUAGACAGACUGCUGGUUUUACGCCAGAGGAAGGUGGGGACGACGUCAAGUCAUCAUGCCCCUUACGCCCAGGGCUACACACGUGCUACAAUGGCAGGUACAAAGGGCUGCGAAGCGGUAACGCCAAGCCAACCCCAUAAAGCCUGCCUCAGUUCAGAUUGAGGGCUGCAACUCGCCCUCAUGAAGGUGGAAUCGCUAGUAAUCGUGAAUCAGCAUGUCACGGUGAAUACGUUCCCGGGCCUUGUACACACCGCCCGUCACACCACCCGAGUCGGGUGCUCCCGAAGUCGCAUACUUAACUUCGUGAGGGAUGUGCCGAAGGAGUGCUUGGUAAGGGGGGUGAAGUCGUAACAAGGUA
This 1506-nucleotide ribosomal RNA is filed under the name uncultured prokaryote. RNAcentral describes it as "partial 16S ribosomal RNA". It matches the Rfam family "Bacterial small subunit ribosomal RNA". The record is from RNAcentral.